GGCUGAAACCCGCCUCCAUGAAGUUGGAUUCGCUAGUAAUCGCGCAUCAGCCAUGGCGCGGUGAAUACGUUCCCGGGCCUUGUACACACCGCCCGUCAAGCCAUGGGAGCUGGGGGUGCCUGAAGUUCGUGACCGCAAGGAUCGACCUAGGGCAAAACCGGUGACUGGGGCUAAGUCGUAACAAGGUAUC
RNAcentral lists this ribosomal RNA (190 nucleotides) under uncultured bacterium. RNAcentral's name for it is "partial 16S ribosomal RNA". It matches the Rfam family "Bacterial small subunit ribosomal RNA", at positions 1303 to 1500 of the family's 1533-position model. The record is from RNAcentral.